GCCUGAGCGAGGAGGAGAGUCGGCAAGCACAGAAGGGGAUGUUGAGGUGUUGGGCCAAUAGAAAUCAGAUGGACGAUUGAUUGGUUAAGCGGAACGACGAAACAAGAUCAUCUGUCACAAUGAAGAAGAGCAGGGUACUAGAGGGGCUUGAGUAAAGAUGGUUUAUGAAACAAUAUGAGCAGGAAGCAUGACGCAGAAUUCAUCGGGAAGGAAUAAUUUAAAAAAGAAGAAAGCAGAGAGACCUUGAUUGAGAUCAGAGAACAUCUGCAGGUUACUUGAUCAUCCUGGUAGGACAAAUUCAUUAAGCAGCAUUCAGGACACAAGAUUAGAAGCACAGAGAGAGAUGGAAGGAGAGGAGGAAACAGUAAUGAGUUCAUCAUGAAGACAUAACCAAUCAGAAAUACUGGAUCUAAAAUAUGAUUCAUCUCUGUGGAUAACUAAGAUGAGGAAACUGACACCCAGAGAGAAGCAGCAGCCCAAGGACUCAGGUGUACUGAGGCUUUUCUCAGGGUUAUUCAAGGUUUACCUGAACAGCAUUGACCUUCAUCAAGAAGCGUGUGGUCUCCAUGAAGAUACUGCUGGAUUUGGGGGAAACUCCAUGAAAGGCUGGGGAAGCCAGAACGGAUGUUGACAUAUGACCUUUUGAACCUGAAAAAAAACACACGAGAAGAGAAAGGGAAAGGAGAGGAAAGACCUGAGAAGCAGACAAGUGAGAAUAAAGCAGAGACUGUCCAUGAGAAAGGGCACCAGAGAAACUGAGACUGAAAGGCAGAAGACUCCUUUAAAUAUCAAUUCUUAAAGUCCUAAAUCCUGACAGUCAAAAAUUCUUUUGUGUGCGAUGUCACACUUUUAAGUUUAAUCUGCAAGAACAUUUUCUUAAGUACUUCCUUGCGUCUCCACAAACAAGAAAACAAUAAAUCAGGUUUGGUUUGUG
Long non-coding RNA from Sarcophilus harrisii (Tasmanian devil), 934 nucleotides. RefSeq lists it as uncharacterized. The record is from RefSeq and is a predicted model, not a curated record. NCBI's taxonomy places the organism in Eukaryota, Metazoa, Chordata, Mammalia, Dasyuromorphia, Dasyuridae. The transcript is spliced from 4 exons.